RNAcentral lists this ribosomal RNA (407 nucleotides) under uncultured bacterium. RNAcentral's name for it is "partial 16S ribosomal RNA". It matches the Rfam family "Bacterial small subunit ribosomal RNA", at positions 30 to 526 of the family's 1533-position model. The record is from RNAcentral.
AUUGAACGCUGGCGGCAGGCCUAACACAUGCAAGUCGAGCGGAGCGGCGGACGGGUGAGUAAUGCCUAGGAAUCUGCCUGGUAGUGGGGGAUAACGUCCGGAAACGGGCGCUAAUACCGCAUCCUAUCAGAUGCGCCUAGGUCGGAUUAGUUAGUGGGUGGGGUAAAGGCCUACCAGGGCGCCGCUCCGUAACUGGUCUGAGAGGAUGAUCAGUAACACUGGAAGUGGUACACGGGCCAGACUCCUACGGGAGGCAGCAGUGGGGAAUAUUGGACAAUGGGCGAAAGCCUGAUCCAGCCAUGCCGCGUGUGUGAAGAAGGUCUUCGGAUUGUAAAGCACUUUAAGUUGGGAGGCGUUACCAACAGAAUAAGCACCGGCUAACUUCGUGCCAGCAGCCGCGGUAAUUC